This 465-nucleotide ribosomal RNA is filed under the name Vreelandella stevensii. RNAcentral's name for it is "partial 16S ribosomal RNA". It matches the Rfam family "Bacterial small subunit ribosomal RNA", at positions 338 to 795 of the family's 1533-position model. The record is from RNAcentral. Lineage: Bacteria; Pseudomonadati; Pseudomonadota; Gammaproteobacteria; Oceanospirillales; Halomonadaceae.
CCUACGGGAGGCAGCAGUGGGGAAUAUUGGACAAUGGGCGAAAGCCUGAUCCAGCCAUGCCGCGUGUGUGAAGAAGGCCUUCGGGUUGUAAAGCACUUUCAGUGGGGAAGAAAGCCUUGGGGCUAAUACCCUCGAGGAAGGACAUCACCCACAGAAGAAGCACCGGCUAACUCCGUGCCAGCAGCCGCGGUAAUACGGAGGGUGCGAGCGUUAAUCGGAAUUACUGGGCGUAAAGCGCGCGUAGGCGGUCUGAUAAGCCGGUUGUGAAAGCCCCGGGCUCAACCUGGGAACGGCAUCCGGAACUGUCAGGCUAGAGGGCAGGAGAGGAAGGUAGAAUUCCCGGUGUAGCGGUGAAAUGCGUAGAGAUCGGGAGGAAUACCAGUGGCGAAGGCGGCCUUCUGGACUGACACUGACGCUGAGGUGCGAAAGCGUGGGUAGCAAACAGGAUUAGAUACCCCAGUAGUC